GCCGAGGUAGUCUAGUCUGGUAAGGCGCGGGACUUGAAAUCCCGUGGAGUUUCUCCUCCUGAGUUCAAAUCUCAGUCUCGGCG
Molecule: non-coding RNA, 83 nt
Organism: Methanobrevibacter millerae
Lineage: Archaea; Methanobacteriati; Methanobacteriota; Methanobacteria; Methanobacteriales; Methanobacteriaceae
Source: Rfam